This 1110-nucleotide ribosomal RNA is filed under the name Lactobacillus delbrueckii. RNAcentral's name for it is "bacterial SSU rRNA". It matches the Rfam family "Bacterial small subunit ribosomal RNA", at positions 61 to 1141 of the family's 1533-position model. The record is from RNAcentral. Lineage: Bacteria; Bacillati; Bacillota; Bacilli; Lactobacillales; Lactobacillaceae.
GUCGAGCGAGCUGAAUUCAAAGAUUCCUUCGGGAUGAUUUGUUGGACGCUAGCGGCGGAUGGGUGAGUAACACGUGGGCAAUCUGCCCUAAAGACUGGGAUACCACUUGGAAACAGGUGCUAAUACCGGAUAACAACAUGAAUCGCAUGAUUCAAGUUUGAAAGGCGGCGCAAGCUGUCACUUUAGGAUGAGCCCGCGGCGCAUUAGCUAGUUGGUGGGGUAAAGGCCUACCAAGGCRAUGAUGCGUAGCCGAGUUGAGAGACUGAUCGGCCACAUUGGGACUGAGACACGGCCCAAACUCCUACGGGAGGCAGCAGUAGGGAAUCUUCCACAAUGGACGMAAGUCUGAUGGAGCAACGCCGCGUGAGUGAAGAAGGUCUUCGGAUCGUAAAGCUCUGUUGUUGGUGAAGAAGGAUAGAGGCAGUAACUGGUCUUUAUUUGACGGUAAUCAACCAGAAAGUCACGGCUAACUACGUGCCAGCAGCCGCGGUAAUACGUAGGUGGCAAGCGUUGUCCGGAUUUAUUGGGCGUAAAGCGAGCGCAGGCGGAAUGAUAAGUCUGAUGUGAAAGCCCACGGCUCAACCGUGGAACUGCAUCGGAAACUGUCAUUCUUGAGUGCAGAAGAGGAGAGUGGAACUCCAUGUGUAGCGGUGGAAUGCGUAGAUAUAUGGAAGAACACCAGUGGCGAAGGCGGCUCUCUGGUCUGCAACUGACGCUGAGGCUCGAAAGCAUGGGUAGCGAACAGGAUUAGAUACCCUGGUAGUCCAUGCCGUAAACGAUGAGCGCUAGGUGUUGGGGACUUUCCGGUCCUCAGUGCCGCAGCAAACGCAUUAAGCGCUCCGCCUGGGGAGUACGACCGCAAGGUUGAAACUCAAAGGAAUUGACGGGGGCCCGCACAAGCGGUGGAGCAUGUGGUUUAAUUCGAAGCAACGCGAAGAACCUUACCAGGUCUUGACAUCCUGCGCUACACCUAGAGAUAGGUGGUUCCCUUCGGGGACGCAAAGACAGGUGGUGCAUGGCUGUCGUCAGCUCGUGUCUUGAGAUGUUGGGUUAAGUCCCGCAACGAGCGCAACCCUUGUCUUUAGUUGSCAUCAUUAAGUUGGGCACUCU